CAUCUGCGCACGCGCCCUGCCAGAGGCGCGGGGAAGAGAUCCGUGGUUGGCUCACAAGUAAGAAAGUAAGCAAAAAAAAAGGUGUUUAAAGUGUGCAGCAGCUCUUUGCAUGAAGAAAACAUGAGAGAUUGGAAGCUCGUAAUUUGAGUUCGUUGGUGCAGAACUGCAGAAACACAGCUAAUCAUUUAUUAAGACCGCCUUGACGUUUCCCUCAGCUCAGUGAAAACAACUGGUUACCCAAAGUCCCACCUGAUGCCCUGACACACACCUCACUGGAGAGAGAAGCAUGUAGAAAACUUCUCAGGAAAACAUCAAAGAGGAAUUCAUGAGUCCUUGAAAAGCUAAACUAUUUCAUGGAUCCUAGGAGGAUAAAUGGGAACUUUGACAAGAAUGGAGAAUGUGGUACUUCAAAGGUGUAAGUACAAUUGCUUUGCUACUCUGUUCAGCUUCUCCUGUUAAGAAAACUGCCUCAGCUUCUGAUUAACAGUAAGCUUUUCUAGUAAAUCCAUUGCUUUAACUGGAGAAUACACCAAAGCAAGGGAAUUCAGGAUUUUACGGGGGCAUUCAGUACAUCACUUCAGUGCUCGAAUACACUAUUGCUUUAUGUCUCCCAUGGAUGAGACAAAAUCAGGAGGAUAUUCAGUGCCUCUAAAAUCAAAAGGCAAGGGGCAUCUUUUCUAAUCAUGGAGCUUCUGGGAAGAAUAACGAAAGAGUGGGUUUUCAUCUUCCUCUACUACCCAGAUGACUUUAUUAACUCAAGUCUUUGGAUUCCAAGUCAAGAGCUCUGUGGUAACCAGCCUUAAAAAUUGCCCCUGAUGCCUCCUGAUAUCCAACCCCUUUCUGUUAAAUGACUAGGGUUAGGUUAUUUGAUGAAUCAGAUAUGGCAGAAGCAAUGGGAUAUCACUUCUGAGCUUAAGUUAUAAGACAGCUUCCGAUUUGGAUUCUCUCUCUCUCUCUCUCUCUCUCUCCCUCCCUCUCCCCCCCUGCCCCCGCUUCCCUCCCUCCCUCUCUCUCUCUCUCUUUCUCUCCCCUUUUCUGUCUCUAUCUUAUCGCCUGAUUUGGGGGAAGACUUAUGGAGAGUCCCUCAUGGUGAGGAACUGAAACCUUUUACUAAUAUACUAAUAACCAUGUGAGUGAGCUUGGAAAGAGAUUCUCCAGGCCCCAUGAAUCCAUAGAGAUGCAGACCAGCCAGCCAACAGCUUGACUGCAACCUCGAGAGAGACUCUGAGCCAAAAACACAUGGCUAAGGAUUCCUGACCCUCAGAAACUAUGACAUAAUAAGUUUUUUGUCUUAAGCCACUAAAUUUUGCAGCAAUAGAUAGUGUAGGCUCUUUCCGUCUACACUAGGACACACCUUUUCAUUUGUGAAAUGAUUUUUUUAAAAAAUAAGUGAUGUCAAAAAUUCUUUCACUUUAUGAAUGUCACUGAUUGAGUGGAGCCACACCCUUUCAGUAACCAUGAUCCAGGAGAUUUAAAAGAAAAGGUUCUCUUCUUGUUUUCAGAGUUUUAGUUGUCUUAUUUAUUUAGUUCAUGGUGUCUGGCACACAUGGCAGGCACUAAAGUUAGGGAAUAUCUCUAUAAAAAUUGUAAAGGUCUACAUUCUGCAAUUAUGCAUAUUUAUUAUCAUUCUUCGAGUAAUUCUUCUUGCACUAGUCUAUAUGUAUAAGUUGAAGAUAAUAAUAGUACUGGAUUGUUGGAGAGAUAAAAUGAGUAAAUAUAUGUAAAUUACUUCAGUGUCUGAAAUUUUUAUAAUUACUAUACAUGUUCCCCUUCCUGUGUUAUCUCCUUCUCUUCAUCCUGACAAAUAGGGAUAUUAUUAAAGAGACCUCAACCUGUAACUGUGAUCCUCACUUCUAAUCCAGAGUAUAUUGGCCAAGAAUGUGUUCCCCUGAAUGCCUAUCAUGAUCUUGCUUCUUAAGAUAUUCAGCUGAACACGCAAGAUUUUGGGCCUGUCCUUUGGCCAAGAUCAAUUUAUUAGAAAAUAUUCAAAUUUAAAUAUAGCCUACCUAUUAACUAAGAUCAUUUAAAAAGCAUUUUAACCACAAAAAGGAAAUGUCAAUAAUUGUCAGUCCUUUUAUGAGAAAAGGAAGCACUGGUUGAUUUAAGGUGUACAGUGUCGAUUAACCCAAAAGAGUGAUAGAAAAGAAACAUUAGCAAACUAGAUUUGAAUGCAGACUCUGCCAUGUAAGAAAGAAGUCCAGAAUAUACCUUCAGUACACAUUUUGGCUUAAUAUAUAUCCUUUUUUAAAAAAAUAGAUUUUUCUUAUUGUAAAAAUUACUUUAACAGUACUUUAACAUUACAAUAAUUUAAUCAGAAAGAAUUAAGGAAGUAAAGUUAUAAAGGAACUAAAAAGUCAUACAAAUCCCUAUAUUGAACUUGGAAAUAAUCUUCCUAGUGCUUGGUCUGUACAUAUGUUAUAUUUCAUCCAAUCUAAGGUACCAUCAAUUGUAGGAUGCUCCAUUAUGUUAUGAUCCAUUAAGAAAGAAAAAGAUAUACACUGCCAAUUAAAACUAUGAUAAAAUGCUUGCCUAUGACAUAUUGUGUUUAUUUUUAUGUAUUGAAAGGGCUUAUUUAGACAUUUUAGCAAGUACUUUAAUCAUAUAUCACACUUGUACAUGCAGAAAAAAGAAAAUAUGAGCAAAACAAAUUGGUUAAGAUACUCCUAAACUGUCUUACAUGAAAUUGUAUCUUUUAUUUUUUUUGUCUCAGAGUGGUCAAUAUACAUGUUUUUCCACAUUAUAUCUGUUGCAACUUCAAAAGUAUAGAUUAUGCAGUGUUUCUUAAAACUUUUCUAUUAUCUUCUCUGAGAUUUUCCUUUAAGCUACUGACACUCAUUCUGCAAAAUUUGAUGCACAUACACAGGCAAUUGUAAAUAAGUCAGUUUUGCUAUCGCAUCAAAAAAAUAACAAGAUCCAUUCUAAUAUCAGAGAUUUUAGGACAAAAAAAUAAUGAAUCAGUUAGUGUCCAGUCAGGAAACAGAACUAAUGCCAAGAAAUUCAGUAGAAAGAAUUUAAUACAGAACUGACCAAGAUGGCAGAGUAGAAGGACGUGCUGUCACUCCCCCUUCUGAGAACA
Molecule: long non-coding RNA, 3076 nt
Organism: Aethalodelphis obliquidens (Pacific white-sided dolphin)
Lineage: Eukaryota; Metazoa; Chordata; Mammalia; Artiodactyla; Delphinidae
Exons: 3
Source: RefSeq, a predicted model, not a curated record